RNAcentral lists this ribosomal RNA (561 nucleotides) under Botryotrichum atrogriseum. RNAcentral's name for it is "eukaryotic LSU rRNA". It matches the Rfam family "Eukaryotic large subunit ribosomal RNA", at positions 38 to 625 of the family's 3401-position model. Lineage: Eukaryota; Fungi; Ascomycota; Sordariomycetes; Sordariales; Chaetomiaceae. The record is from RNAcentral.
GCAUAUCAAUAAGCGGAGGAAAAGAAACCAACAGGGAUUGCCCCAGUAACGGCGAGUGAAGCGGCAACAGCUCAAAUUUGAAAUCUGGCUUCGGCCCGAGUUGUAAUUUGCAGAGGAAGCUUUAGGCGCGGCACCAUCUGAGUCCCCUGGAACGGGGCGCCAAAGAGGGUGAGAGCCCCGUAUAGAUGGACGCCUAGCCUGUGUAAAGCUCCUUCGACGAGUCGAGUAGUUUGGGAAUGCUGCUCAAAAUGGGAGGUAAAUUUCUUCUAAAGCUAAAUAUUGGCCAGAGACCGAUAGCGCACAAGUAGAGUGAUCGAAAGAUGAAAAGCACUUUGAAAAGAGGGUUAAAUAGCACGUGAAAUUGUUGAAAGGGAAGCGCUUGUGACCAGACUUGCGCCGGGCGGAUCAUCCGGUGUUCUCACCGGUGCACUCCGCCCGGCUCAGGCCAGCAUCGGUUCUCGUGGGGGGAUAAAGGCACCGGGAACGUAGCUCCUCCGGGAGUGUUAUAGCCCGGGGCGUAAUGCCCUCGCGGGGACCGAGGACCGCGCUUCUGCAAGGAUG